Molecule: ribosomal RNA, 238 nt
Filed under: uncultured bacterium
Lineage: Bacteria
Description: partial 16S ribosomal RNA
Rfam family: Bacterial small subunit ribosomal RNA
Source: RNAcentral
CGCACGGGUGAGUAACACGUAAGUAAUCUACCUUCGAGUGGGGAAUAACGUCCGGAAACGGACGCUAAUACCGCAUAAUGCAGCGGCACCUAAUGGUGACGGUUGUUAAAGGAGCAAUUCGCUUGAAGAGGAGCUUGCGGCAGAUUAGCUAGUUGGUAAGGUAACGGCUUACCAAGGCUACGAUCUGUAACCGGUCUAAGAGGACGGUCGGUCACACUGACACUGAAUAACGGGUCAG